Molecule: ribosomal RNA, 635 nt
Filed under: uncultured Methanosaeta sp.
Lineage: Archaea; Methanobacteriati; Methanobacteriota; Methanomicrobia; Methanotrichales; Methanotrichaceae
Description: bacterial SSU rRNA
Rfam family: Archaeal small subunit ribosomal RNA
Source: RNAcentral
UUCCGUUUGAUCCUGGCAGAGGUUACUGCUAUCGAGGUUCGACUAAGCCAUGCGAGUCGAACGUAGCAAUACAUGGCGUACUGCUCAGUAACACGUGGACAACCUACCCUUAGGUCGGGGAUAAACCCGGGAAACUGGGUAUAAUACCCGAUAGUCCUCGGAUGCUGGAAUGCACCGAGGUCUAAAGCUCCGGCGCCUAAGGAUGGGUCUGCGGCCUAUCAGGUAGUAGUGGGUGUAGCGUACCUACUAGCCUACGACGGGUACGGGUUGUGAGAGCAAGAGCCCGGAGAUGGAUUCUGAGACACGAAUCCAGGCCCUACGGGGUGCAGCAGGCGCGAAAACUUUACAAUGCUGGAAACAGCGAUAAGGGGACCUCGAGUGCCAGGUUACAAAUCUGGCUGUCGUGAUGCCUAAAAAGCAUUGCAUAGCAAGGGCCGGGCAAGACCGGUGCCAGCCGCCGCGGUAACACCGGCGGCUCGAGUGGUAACCGUUAUUAUUGGGUCUAAAGGGUCUGUAGCCGGCCGGAUAAGUCACUUGGGAAAUCCAGCAGCUCAACUGUUGGGCUUUCAGGAGAUACUGUCUGGCUCGAGGCCGGGAGAGGUGAGAGGUACUCAGGGGUAGGGGGAAAUCUUGUA